UACAGAGGUCCCAAGCGUUGUUCGGAUUUACUGGGCGUAAAGGGUGCGUAGGCGGUCGGGUAAGUCUGAUGUGAAAUCUCUGGGCUCAACCCAGAAAUGGCAUUGGAUACUAUUCGGCUAGAGAGUUGGAGGGGGGACUGGAAUACUUGGUGUAGCAGUGAAAUGCGUAGAUAUCAAGUGGAACACCAGUGGCGAAGGCGAGUCCCCGGACAACUUCUGACGCUGAGGCACGAAAGCUAGGGGAGCAAACAGG
This 253-nucleotide ribosomal RNA is filed under the name uncultured bacterium. RNAcentral describes it as "partial 16S ribosomal RNA". It matches the Rfam family "Bacterial small subunit ribosomal RNA", at positions 524 to 776 of the family's 1533-position model. The record is from RNAcentral.